Molecule: long non-coding RNA, 276 nt
Filed under: Lathyrus oleraceus (garden pea)
Lineage: Eukaryota; Viridiplantae; Streptophyta; Magnoliopsida; Fabales; Fabaceae
Description: Pisum sativum (pea) long non-coding RNA (PSAT_LNC041305)
Source: RNAcentral
UUCAUCAUACCUGGUGGUGUCUGCCACUGUUGGGUCGCUGUGGAUGUUCCUACGGUCAUUCAUAAGUCAGCGUGAUUUGUUCAUUUUGUUUGAAACCCUUCUCCCAUGCCAAAAGGAGAAGUGAUGACAUUGUUGACAACAUUUAAUACAAUGAUGUUUUCAUUCAAUUAAUGCAUUGCUAAACAUUUGUUUUUCCAUUUGUUUUCACUUUUUGCUUUUGCAUGAAAUCAGUGAUCACAAAAAACCUGAAAAACAAAAACAGCUUUUUCAUCUGCA